UACGUAGGGGGCGAGCGUUGUCCGGAUUUAUUGGGCGUAAAGAGCGUGUAGGCGGCCAGGUAGGUCCGUUGUGAAAACUCGAGGCUCAACCUCGAGACGUCGAUGGAAACCAUCUGGCUAGAGUCCGGAAGAGGAGAGUGGAAUUCCUGGUGUAGCGGUGAAAUGCGCAGAUAUCAGGAAGAACACCUAUGGCGAAGGCAGCUCUCUGGGCCACUACUGACGCUGAGAAGCGAAAGCAUGGGGAGCGAACAGG
Molecule: ribosomal RNA, 253 nt
Filed under: uncultured bacterium
Lineage: Bacteria
Description: partial 16S ribosomal RNA
Rfam family: Bacterial small subunit ribosomal RNA
Source: RNAcentral